This 248-nucleotide ribosomal RNA is filed under the name uncultured Bacteroides sp. RNAcentral's name for it is "partial 16S ribosomal RNA". It matches the Rfam family "Bacterial small subunit ribosomal RNA", at positions 524 to 771 of the family's 1533-position model. Lineage: Bacteria; Pseudomonadati; Bacteroidota; Bacteroidia; Bacteroidales; Bacteroidaceae. The record is from RNAcentral.
UACGGAGGAUCCGAGCGUUAUCCGGAUUUAUUGGGUUUAAAGGGAGCGUAGGUGGAUUGUUAAGUCAGUUGUGAAAGUUUGCGGCUCAACCGUAAAAUUGCAGUUGAUACUGGGUGUCUUGAGUACAGUAGAGGCAGGCGGAAUUCGUGGUGUAGCGGUGAAAUGCUUAGAUAUCACGAAGAACUCCGAUUGCGAAGGCAGCUCACUAGACUGCAACUGACACUGAUGCUCGAAAGCGUGGGGAGCAA